This 84-nucleotide ribosomal RNA is filed under the name Podospora anserina S mat+. The record is from RNAcentral. Lineage: Eukaryota; Fungi; Ascomycota; Sordariomycetes; Sordariales; Podosporaceae.
CACCUGAGUACUAGUGGCACUCAACUGCUUAUCUAGGGGAAAGCGGACGGGAUCCCGAGUUUUCAACUGGUUAUGGUCGUAUGU